RNAcentral lists this ribosomal RNA (113 nucleotides) under Acanthosepion pharaonis. The record is from RNAcentral. Lineage: Eukaryota; Metazoa; Mollusca; Cephalopoda; Sepiida; Sepiidae.
UACGGCCAUAUAACGUUGAAACACCGGUUUCUAUACGAUCAUCAAAGUUAAGCAACAUCUAAUCUGGUCAGUACCUAGAUGGGUGACCACUUGGGAAUAUCAGAUGCUGUAAG